This is a long non-coding RNA of Physeter macrocephalus (sperm whale), 2669 nucleotides long. RefSeq lists it as uncharacterized. The transcript is spliced from 3 exons. NCBI's taxonomy places the organism in Eukaryota, Metazoa, Chordata, Mammalia, Artiodactyla, Physeteridae. The record is from RefSeq and is a predicted model, not a curated record.
CCUCUCGCUCUUUUCGCUCACCGGCUAACCUACCUCCCCCUUUUUAAGUUCUAGAUUGGGUCGUCAGGUGGGACAGGAUAUCCUGAAGUUACGUGCAAAAUAUUGUAGUAUUUGCCUGUGUCCAGUUUUUGAGAGGGAAAGGAUCCAUGGCUUCCACAAUCUUCUCGAAGGGGCCUCUAACUACCCACCCCACGAAGUUACCCACCACUGUUCUAAAAGAGACCUGGCUGACACUAACAUCAGAGAGCAGGAUUGGGAGUCAUCCAUCUCUCUGGAGCCCAGAGACUCGCGCUCAGAAAUCUGAGAUAUCAAACGCCACCUGCCCACUUGAUGGACCAGAAACGGAGGGCCUGGAGAGGGCAAGUGACUUGCCCGGAGGUUACCAGCAGAGAAUUUCGCAGAAAGAGCCCUACCCUCCCUGUUUGCCUAUGUCCAAGAGAAGUAUUUGCACCAGACAAGUUUCUCUCUUGUUCCUCUUCUUACUAAAUGCCAGCUAAAUCCAACAGGGGGCGUGCUGAGCCUUGGUGCACCAGCUUUAUCAACACCAACACCCAGAACUGGAGCCAAACAAUCCUUCCCAGAGGACUUCACUCCAUUUCAGUGAAAAUAAGCAGUUUCUCUUCAUUUGGAAUUGUGUUCAGCAUGCCAUAGCUUGUAUUCAGGGUUGAUGCUUUGCAUUUUCCAUUGCUCACUCUAUUUGCUGAAAGGCACAGUGUUCCAUUGUGUGCUUUCAGCUGGUGAGGCAGGGUCUGUAAAAGGGAUAGAGAGAUGGAAACAAACAACCCUUUGGCCCAGAAAAAGAACACCAGGAUGCAACCCUGUCAGCAGCUGGAAUCUCACAGCUCUCUAUCGUGUUCCUCUAUCCAUCCAUUUGUUCAGCAAAGUGUGACUAUUUACCAGGAGCCAGCUACUGGGCUGGGGACUUCAAUAAAGCCCAGUCCCUCCUGUUGAGAAGCUCAUAGUGUAGCGUGGGGAGACAGAUGCAUAAACAGUUUCUGAUACAAAGUGGAAGGUGCUCUGGGAAGGUUCCCACUACUUCCUGGGAGAAUAGGAAAGGGUUCACAGGGUACAGCCUUCCUCCCCACCCCACCCCCUACCCUUCCUGCAGUGACAUGAGGUGUGAAAGUACAGGCCAGGUGGGUGGGAGAGCAGCCAGGCAUUCUCAUCUCUUAUCGAGGUUCUGCCUUAAAUCUUACCAGCUUACAUUGAGGGAGCUCCAACAAGGUGUGAGGGGUGCAGCGUGCAGUAUGUUCCAUUCAGUUUUGGAUCGUGCUGGAAGAGAUCCUAGGGAGACAGUGUGUUUUGUUAACAAUAAAUGAUUGGGAUGAAUGAUGUGUCAUCACAUCAGAGAAACCAUCCCGAAUGGAAAACCAGUCUUCAGCAGCUGGCUUACAGCUGCCAAAGACAGCAGAGAUGUUUUUCUCCCCAGAUUUAUAAGCACUAUUCUUGCUUCUCUGACAUAUAGGAAAAGUGCCUAUAAUAUUUAUAUAUUUCUCUUCCUCAAAAAUCCCUUCCUUGCUUCUCCUUCAAACAUUAAUACAUAGGGUAGCUUUCCUGAACCAGAAAGCAAUCAGAAUUAUUUAUUAAGUGCUAAUUUAUGCAUAGUGUGGUGCUUGAAAACAUUCAAAGAACACAGGGAAUUUGCUGCGGGGUGAGAAUUUUAGUCUCAUGGAAGCAGUGAGUCUGGCUGAUAAACAGAAAAGUCAAGAAAAUAAGUGAAUGGAAAUGCCAUAAAAUCUCUUUUCCUCCUCUACCUUCAGCAUGCACUGGUCUCUUAUCCUAAAAAUAAAAAACAAACAUAAACAAACCAAAACUACAGUCUAAAUUGGUUUUACCUUCCUGCCUUCCCAAGGCUGGGUCCAUCCGUUUUCUCCUGUUCAGAUUCAUUGUUUUCUAGAACUGCUGCUACAUAUCCCUUACCCUUAAUUCAGUCCUUAAAUUUCUGCAGUUAAUCCAAAAAGGUGGCUUCCUUUCUAUUAAAAGAGCACUUAAAAAUCACCAAUAAACUCCAUAUUCUACCAAUUAUCUCUCCUUUUCUGAUGUUACAUGAACUCUCCACAGGAUUUAGCACUGCUGACCAAUUUGCCCUUGAGACUCUCCCUCUUGGCCUUUGUGAGGCUGUGUUAUUUUUAUUUACAGUAUUUCUCGUCCCGUUUGCUAACAUUUUUUUUCUUUCUUUCAUGGUCUUAAAAAAACCCAGCUUUUGAAACCGCUCAAAAAAUAAAGACAACAACCACUAGCUUUAUUGACAUAUAGCUCACAUACCAUAUAAUUCACCUAUGUAAAGUGUACAGUUCAAUGGUUUUUAGUACGAAGAGGUGUCAAUCAUAAUCGAUUUUAGAACAGUUUCAUAACCCCCAAAAUAAACAACCUGUCAAAUAAAGAACAAAUCCAGAGUUAGUAAAGAGAGACUUUAUUAGAAAGGAUUAUUGCAGGGGAAGAAAGGGACUGUGGCAGUCAGGGGAGGGCGUCUAAUGUAAUAAAGAGAAUGCUGUGACCAUAAGAUCUGCAGGUGUCUCAAGGGGUAGGCAAAAAGGGGUUUUCUUUUAUAGAGCGUAAACAAGGCUAGAAAGAACGAGGGUCAGGGAAUGGGGUGAAAGGGUGGCAUGAUGAGAGAGCAGAGCAGAGAACGCUUUUCCCUGAAGCCAGCCUAUCCUCAGGACGGGUUG